GACGAACCGUGCGAACGUUAUUCGGAAUCACUGGGCUUAAAGCGCGUGUAGGCGGGCCGGCACGUCCGUCGCUGAAAUCCCCCGGCUCAACCGGGGAAGGGGCGCGGAUACGACCGGCCUGGAGGGGGGUAGGGGGCGCUGGAACUCACGGUGGAGCGGUGAAAUGCGUUGAGAUCGUGAGGAACGCCCGCGGCGAAAGCGAGCGCCUGGACCCUUUCUGACGCUGAGACGCGAAAGCCAGGGGAGCGAACGGG
This 254-nucleotide ribosomal RNA is filed under the name uncultured bacterium. Its description in RNAcentral is "partial 16S ribosomal RNA". It matches the Rfam family "Bacterial small subunit ribosomal RNA", at positions 524 to 776 of the family's 1533-position model. The record is from RNAcentral.